UCCUAGUUAUAAAUUAAAUUGAAUUUACCAGAGUACUAUGAAUACUAUAAAAUUUAAAACUCAAAGGACUUGGCGGUGUUUUAGACCACUCAGGGGAACCUGUCCCGUAAUCGAUAAUCCACGUUAUACCUAACCUCCUUUUGUUUUCAGCUUGUAUACCGUUGUCGUCAGGUAACUUUUUAGAAUUCAGAAGUUAGCUAAAAACAAUGAGUUUGAACGUCAAAUCAAGGUGCAGCCAACAAGGAGGCGAGGAUGGGUUACAAUUAUUUAAUCAUAAUUACGAAGAAUUAUAAGAAUAAAUGAUUAAGAAGGAGGACUUGAAAGUAAAUUAGAUUAUAGAGAUAAUUUGAAUUAGGCUCUGAAAUGCGCACACAUCGCCCGUCGCUCUUGUUGGAAAAUAAGAUAAGUCGUAACAUAGUAGGGGUAAUGGAAAUUGCCCCUAAACU
This 446-nucleotide ribosomal RNA is filed under the name Polystira starretti. RNAcentral's name for it is "partial small subunit ribosomal RNA". Lineage: Eukaryota; Metazoa; Mollusca; Gastropoda; Neogastropoda; Turridae. The record is from RNAcentral.